Molecule: small nuclear RNA, 105 nt
Organism: Sorex araneus (European shrew)
Lineage: Eukaryota; Metazoa; Chordata; Mammalia; Eulipotyphla; Soricidae
Source: Ensembl
GUGCUAGGUUUGACAGCAUAUAUAUUAAAGUUGGAAAAAUACAGAGAAGAUUGGUAUGGCCAUUGUGCAAAGAAGACACAAAUCCUGGAAGCAACUCAUAUUUUU